GGGAACAAGCAGCUGCUGCCUCUUCUUUGUUUUAUCUUCUCAGGUCAAAAUCACCACAUUUAUGAGUCAGGACUAAGCUGCUAUUGGUUAGAUGUGACAUCACUUUCCAAAUUCACUGUUCACACCAGCAAGCUGCUAUAGUCUACUGGUAAGUCUGACUUCCAUUCACUAAUGGUUUGGUAAUACUUAUAACAGACAUCCAUGAUUCGGCCAUUAUUGAACUUUUGUAGCGUGCGUUAAUUUACUCGAUAUGACAAUUAUACAAGUUUCAUUAUGUUUAACUUUUGCUAUUGGCAUAAACAUUUAAGACUAACAAAGAUGAAUAGAAAAAAAAAUCCCUUUUUGCUGGGCAAGAAAGUGGCUCUCUCAAAAUUGCAAGGAGCUAAAAGAGUUUCACGAAAAUGAAUGAGCCCGCAAGCAUUGACCAUACCAAUGAAUAUUUGUCUGUAACUAUCAGUAUAUUUCAGCAUGUCAGGUAACUUUUUUUUCUCGAAAAUAUGUCAGGUAAGGAUCAAAAAGAAAAAUGUAGGUUUUUUUUUCACAAAGUGGUUAUUACAGUCCCAUUAGGCCAUCACCAAGAAUAAAAUGUUUAUCCAUUUGCUUCCUUUUUUUUUAUUCGCUAGGAUUUUUUUUUUCUGAGAAUAUGUUAGUUUUGUGCUCUCUAAGAAAACAAACAACAAAUUGAUUCAUAUAUUUUGUUACUACAUGGUAAUCAUGUGUUGAGCUGUCACUUAUUAAAUUCCUGGUAUUUGCCUCUUGAAUCAUGGGCUCUCGAUAAUGUUGUGAAUCUUCGUGUUGUUUAUCGAAUUCUAACUACAGAAUAGUUACAAGAAGGGAAAAAAUGGGUUUGAAUUACAAAAUAGUAAAAAAAGAUAAUUCAUGAGAGACUGUGCAAAGUACAGUGCAACACUCAGCUUCUCUCUGCACUCUAAAGUAGAUCAUCAUGUGUUAUCUAAUUCUAUUUUAAUUGAGUUUUGUUGUCUGCAGCUCGGUGCCUAUGAUGUCCAGGCAGGAGACAACCUCUUGUAUAGUUGGUCUCAUUCCAGGAUUAUGAUUUACACACUGGCAUGCAACUUCAAGAACCUUCACCAUCUGUUUUUCAUAUCCUGUGCCUCGGAGUGUUGGAUCCAGGACC
RNAcentral lists this long non-coding RNA (1135 nucleotides) under Oryza sativa (Asian cultivated rice). RNAcentral's name for it is "long non-coding RNA (OSAT_LNC000249)". The record is from RNAcentral. Lineage: Eukaryota; Viridiplantae; Streptophyta; Magnoliopsida; Poales; Poaceae.